Molecule: long non-coding RNA, 4364 nt
Filed under: Triticum aestivum (bread wheat)
Lineage: Eukaryota; Viridiplantae; Streptophyta; Magnoliopsida; Poales; Poaceae
Description: long non-coding RNA (TAES_LNC006554)
Source: RNAcentral
AAAAUUCUUAUUUUUAACAAAGAACACGAGUGCCUUUUUCAUCACAAUAAAGAAAACUACGUCUUUUCACAACCUUCGUCACUACCUUCUCCAAACCUUCAGAUACAACUCUUGCAGGCCUGCAUCUCACCAGUCAUGAUACAUGUCUCUUCCAGAAGAUAAUGCAGUGAAGGACAUGCCUUUUGAUUAUUAAAGCAAUAAUUUUUUCCACGCAUACAAAACAUAUAUAGUAAACAACAUCACAGGAUAAAUGGCAGUUGAACUGUUCGGUCCAAAGGAAUUUCACAGGAAACAGUUUGCUUCCUGCAAGAAACAUGAAAACAAAUCAUGUAAUCCAAAUUAUCAGUUUCCAAAGAGUACAUGUAAUUAAGAUGUACUAUGAGGGGACAGUGUAAACGAUAUCUGUACAUAGCUAGUCCUAUCAUUGUAGAGCGAGCAAGGAGAGAACAUAACCAAAAUGGAUCAUGCAUAGACAUAUAAGGUUUUAUCAAAAUAUUUCAGAGUUAGGUCCUGUCUUGUUGUAUGUACAUUUAUGGACGACAUCUUAUGUAUAUCAAGGCAAGUUGAUAUUGAAGCAAGGGCAUAUGUCUACUUUUUUACAUACUGAAUGAAUUAGGAAAUAAUCACCUAGAUCCAUCUGAGGGUUCACACACCUAUCGUUAUACUUAGUAUAACAGAGUUCACUAACAGCAAAGUAAAGUGAGAAAUAAAUCAAUUACUUAGUUCGCUAACAGAAAAAAAUAAAGUGAGACACAUCAGUUUAAAGAGACGAGGCAAAAUAAUAGACCAAACAAGUCACCUAUAGAUAUGGCGCCAUAGAUAAAACAGAACACCAUUUUUUUUUACAAAGCUCUUGCUUUCAAUAUUCAAAAUUCACAAAUUGUACUACUUAUAUCACAUUUUACAUAAAAUAACUAUUUAUAUGUGGCAUGGAAGUGAGUUGAAUCUUCUAUAUAGUACCCGUCUAUUCGCAAAUAGAUGACAUUCUGCACAUGACUAUAAUCUCUAGCAAGCAACUUUUCUUUUAAUUUUAAUGUUACAGAAAACUAAAAACAUUGAUACUGUGAAAAAGAAUUCAUGAAAUUCAGAAAUCUAUUUUAGCUACUCAAUCAAACUAUUUGCUUAUGUAUUACAAGUUGAAGUUAGAGAACCCUGGCUGCGUUCUUUGUUUGACGCCAUGAAUUUACGAAUGAAAGUAUAGUGCAUCAUAUUAUUAGAAAUUCCUUCCACAUAGUCAUGGAGAGCAGAUAACAUAGAUGACAAUCAGCAAAAUGUAGUUUAACAUUUCUGAAUACAGGAGCACCAAAAUUAGACCGUAUUGGGCAGUGGCGGAGCUUGAAGCCCAAUCCUGGGCGGGCUGGGAGGACCUAACAGGAGAAAAUAGGCAGUGGACUCAUGUUUUAAGGCCUCACAAGUAUAUGCGUACUGUAUUAAUAUCCAAAUGUUGGGCGGGCCGCUGCACGGGCUGGCCCCAACGUAGCUCCCCCACUGGUAUUGGGUACGUAAAUGUGUUUCAAAUUCAUUUAGGUGACAUUCAUUUAAUUUCAUUGGCAACCAUGCAUGCAUACAGAUCCAAAAAGGCCUACAUUUAUGCAGGAUGCCUAUAAUUUCUUCUAGCACAUACAAUUGGAAUAUACUAGAAAUUGUUCCUAGCUAAAGUAUAUUAUUUGUUGAGUGAAGCACACGCAUGCAAUAUAGCCAAUGACUGUUUCGAUAAUUGUCGUGCAUGCCAUUCAUAAGAUACUAACUUGUAAGUUUGCACAAAGAAAGAAACAGUUUCCAGUGUGCUGAAAAGCAAACCAGGUUUCUUCAGUUUGUUAAUGUGUUGUUUCUAGUUUACAUAAAGAUAUGCCGAAGCUUCAAAUUGACUAGACACAUUUUUUGUUAGGUCAUUAUCCAGGUAUUAAAUGUAAUUGUAUUUUAGAGCAUCCUUACUGGAGCAACAUUAAACCAAAAAUUUAUAAGUAGUACGUAUGUGCAUACAAUGAGUAUAUAUGAAUGGCAUGGAAGUGAAGCAAAAUCUUCUAUAUAGUACUCCCUCUGUUCGCGAAUAUAUGACACUCUAGACAUGACGAUAAUCUCUAAAAUGGAACUUUGACAAUUAAUUUAGUGUCACAGAAUAUUAUAAACCAUGAUAUGGUGAAAAAAAUGAUGAAAAUUUUAACUAUAUUUUUAGCCGAUUCUUCAAAUAUUUUCAUAUGUAUUGGGAGUCCAAGCUAGAGAACACUGGCUGCAUUCUUUCCUGGACAUCCAGCAUUUAUGAAUAAAAAUAUAUGAUAUAAAAUUCUUACACAUAGUCAUGGCGAGCAGAUAAAAAAGAUGGUAAUUUACAGAGUGUAGCUUGAGAUUUCUUAAUAUAAGAGCACCUAAAUUAGACUGUAUUGGAUACGUGAAUGUGUUGCCAUUUCAUGUAGUUGCACAUUUUCUUUUGGCAACAUGCACAACUACAGAUCCAGAAAAGCAACAUUUAUGCAUGACCACAUACAAUUGGUGGAUACUGGAAAUUUUUCAUAAUUAAAACAAUAUGCUUUGUUCAGUGAAGCAUGCAUGUAAUAUGGCCAAAAUUACAUUGUCAGCAAGUACUCCAUGCAUGGCAUUCAUCAGAUGAUGCGAACACAUAGGUUUUGACAAUAAAAUAAGGCACCGUUUCUUCUGGUACAGUAUGUUAAUUUGUUGUUGCCUCUGUUUACAUAAAAAUAUCUUGAAGAAACUUCAUAUUAGCUAACUACAUUCAUUUGCUAUAUAGGUAUCUUCUAGUGUAGUUUAGGAAAAAAAAGGCCAAUCUAAUCAUAUGGUAUAGGUCAGAGAUGUAAACCAAAUCAGUACGUACUAGCUUUAGUCCUGAUACUAAUAGAUAGUAAAACAGUAGGUCUCUUAACCUGCUAGCUAUGUUAGCCCCUAAUUAACUAAGUGUCCAAAAAGAAUGCAUGGGCUAGACAAAAAUACAUUUUUGUGGGUAUAUAUGUACAGUUUCAUUAAGACACAAAAACACACAAAUAAUACAUCUGUUGUAGAUCCAUAGGAUUGUCUUUUUGUGUAGCCCACAAGUGAAUGGUUUCUUGAUUAUUAUUAACAGAUUCGUAUCACACAAAUACAGAUCAACAAGUGUUUUUUAACUUUUCAAUGCGGUUUCAGAUUUUAUAAAAAAAAAACAGGCUCAAUGGAGCCGGGAUCUAUUUUGCAUUUUUGGGACUCCAAAAUCUAAUAAACUUUUUGCCACUAAUGUGAAAUCAAAUGUCAUUAUUGGCAUCAGUUGAGUGCCAAGGAACACUUUACCUUCUAUAUAGUAUGUCUAAUUGUCUAUACAUAUAAAUAAAUAAUAAGUAGUACUAUUGCUGCGUAGGUAUGCGUUUAAAAAAACAGGGCUUUGUAAUGUGUUUUUUAGAAUAGACACCAACUUUACAGUAUAGUAGGUAAUAACAAAUACAAAUCAAAUGCAGUUUCCGCUUGCCGAGUUUCCCUGAGAAAAUUACUACCACUGGUACAUGCCAUUUUAUUUUGGUGUAAAGGAUGCACACAUAAAUUUUCAUUACUAGUAUAGAUGCAGCGUACUCCACAGUAUACAAGGUAAUGCGAAAUAGUGAGGGCAGCUGUUGGAGUUUGACAUAUUGGUUGGCAUUUACUGUAGGAGAGUAUGUCAAAGUGUCAAAUCUCAAGAUUUGCUUUUCUGCGGUUCGGUUUACUCCUCACUCCUACAUGAAUAUGCAUGUACUACUUGAAUCCCGGAAAAUAACUAGCUAGCUAGGUCCCAGGGAUUCAACCGGAAACGGAAUACUCAUAUAUUUACAUUGGUUAUGCAAAAUAAAAUAAAAUGUGGAGUUAUCCUCACAUAGCUAGAUCCAGACUCAAAGUUGGCAGUCAGUUUAGGUAUCCUUGGCAGUUGGUUUGAUUUGUGUGGCACAAGGUAGUAAAGCAAAUGAAAGCCCUGGAGAGGAAGGAGCUAGGUAGCCAGUGUGGUGGAUGAGAUUGAGAUCUCGUGGAGAACAGACAUAUAUUAACGACGGCCGAAAUAGGUGGAAGCCGGAGCGGAAGAAACGGAAGGGGCAUGCAGUUUAACCUUACAUUUUGGCAAAGUUGGAGAUGGAUGGAUGGAUCCUUGAAUGACCUCCUCCCUCCUGGUCGGCCAUGGCUGCCUCCAGCUCCUGAACGCUUCUUCUCCAACUGAGCUCAAGGACAGAGCGGGAGCCGUCCGUCCAUGGCCGGAGCCGGAUCUAGACAGGGAAACAAUGGUGUUUGUGUGUGAGUGGGGUUCGGUUUCUGAGAGGAGAUCUGGCUGGCUGGGGGUCGGGAAAUCCGUCCACGGCCAUGCCGGCCAAUGGGGAAGGGGAGGACUGUGUCUUUUCUUUCUGUCUUUCUAUUUGCGC